Molecule: ribosomal RNA, 395 nt
Filed under: Muscidifurax uniraptor
Lineage: Eukaryota; Metazoa; Arthropoda; Insecta; Hymenoptera; Pteromalidae
Description: partial 12S ribosomal RNA
Source: RNAcentral
GUGACGGGCGAUGUGUACAUACUUUAAAACUACAUUCAAAUUUAAAAAUUAUUAAAUUUUACUAUUAAAUUCUUAAUAUUAUAAAUAAAUUUAAUAUUUAUAUUUUAAUAAAUAGUUAUUGUAAUUCAUAAACUUUAUAUAUUAUAAUUUAAUAUUGAUCUGAAAUAAAUUAUUUAUUAUAAUUUUAAAAAAUUAAAUUUUAUCAAUAAAUUUUUUUAUAACGAACAUACAAAAAUAUAAAAAUAUAUAUUUAUCUUUUCGUGGAUCAUCAAUUAUGUUACAAAUUCCUCUAAAUAGAUUAAAAUACCGCCAUAAUUAUUAAUUUUCAAAUAUUUAAUCCUAAUAUUUAUAUAUUUAAAUUUAUUAUUAAUAGUAGGGUAUCUAAUCCCUAGUUA